This 1182-nucleotide ribosomal RNA is filed under the name Triticum aestivum (bread wheat). Its description in RNAcentral is "partial small subunit ribosomal RNA". Lineage: Eukaryota; Viridiplantae; Streptophyta; Magnoliopsida; Poales; Poaceae. The record is from RNAcentral.
AUGAGCUGCGAGAUGAGCCGCCGGCGCCGCCGCCGUCCAUCCUCGCCGGCAGCCGCGCCGCCGCUGGAGGACGAGAACCUCCUUUCUGAGAUCCUCCUCCGCCUCCCCCCAGAUCCGUCCUCCGUCGUCUCCAAGCGUUGGCGACGCCUCAUCUCCGACCCCGGCUUCUCCCGCCGCUUCCGCCUCCACCACCACCGCAACCCUCCUCUCAUCGGGUCCUUCAGCCAUUUAUACUUUGCAUCUAGCAUGGAGGCCCCCAAUCGUGUCCCGGAUGGCCACUUUUGCUUGCAGGUCGACGAAGACGAGGUCAACGACAACUUCAUAUGCCUCGGGUGCCGCCAUGGCCUCGUGCUCAUCUUCCAUGUGAGGCGGCUCCAGGUCCUGGUGUGGGACCCCGUCACCAGCGAACUGCAUCGCAUUGCCACUCCCCCGGGAUUCGAUGCGAAGAAGGUGCCGAUCAGUGGGGCGGUGCUUCGCGCUGCUGGAGACAUCCAACACUUCCAGGUGGUAUUGGUAACCACGGAGACAGACGACCAACAGCAUACACGAGCGAUGGCUCAGGUUUACUCGUCGGAGACUGGCGAAUGGGGUGAUAUCUUCUCAACAAUGCUUCCACCCAAGGCUUCUAGGCACGAACUUCCCACCAUGAUCGCAAUAGAAUCUCCUGCUGUCCUAGUUGGGCACUCCCUUUACUGGUUGCUUACUGACAGUCGGGCUGGCAUCCUCAAGUUUGAUCUGGAUAGGCAGAGCUUAAGCGUGAUACAUGUGCCAGUGAAUAUCUAUGCUAAUGGUAAUUGGCAAUUCGCGGUUAUGCCGGCGGAGGGUGGUGGGCUUGGUGGCCUCUUUCUGUCAAAAUUCACUGCCCAAUUAUGGAAGUGGAAGGCCGGUUCUGAUGGUGUUGCGUCAUGGGUGCUGGGAAAAACCAUUGAGCUAGACAAGCUACUUUCCAUUAGUUCAAAGAAGAGAGGGCCUCCGAUGGUAGUAGGGUUUGCUGAGGACAAUAAUGUGGUGUUCCUGUGGACAGAAAUGGACGUGUUCACGAUCCAGCUUCAGUCAUUGCAGUUCAAGAACCUUGGUGAAACUAACUUCUUGUCUCGCUAUCAUCCACUUGAAAGUGUGUAUGCUGCAGGCAUGGGCAUUGGUGGUGGACGUGGUGGAGCUGAACUUCUGCCCAAUACAUAA